GAUGAACGCUGGCGGCGUGCUUAACACAUGCAAGUCGAACGGUGAAGGCGGAGCUUGCUCUGCUGGAUCAGUGGCGAACGGGUGAGUAACACGUGAGCAAUCUGCCCCUGACUCUGGGAUAAGCGCUGGAAACGGCGUCUAAUACUGGAUACGAGCUGCGAAGGCAUCUUCAGCAGCUGGAAAGAAUUUCGGUCAGGGAUGAGCUCGCGGCCUAUCAGCUUGUUGGUGAGGUAAUGGCUCACCAAGGCGUCGACGGGUAGCCGGCCUGAGAGGGUGACCGGCGACACUGGGACUGAGACACGGCCCAGACUCCAACGGGAGGCAGCAGUGGGGAAUAUUGCACAAUGGGCGAAAGCCUGAUGCAGCAACGCCGCGUGAGGGAAGACGGCCUUCGGGUUGUAAACCUCUUUUAGCAGGGAAGAAGCGAAAGUGACGGUACCUGCAGAAAAAGCGCCGGCUAACUACGUG
Molecule: ribosomal RNA, 468 nt
Filed under: uncultured bacterium
Lineage: Bacteria
Description: partial 16S ribosomal RNA
Rfam family: Bacterial small subunit ribosomal RNA
Source: RNAcentral